CCUAUUCUCCGAACACCCUAACUGCACUAUCCCAUCCCAACCGAUAUGACGACCACCGCUUGAGGUCCGAUUAUUAGACUUCGCGUACCUAUGUUCAAUAGGAACCUUCCUUUCUGUUAAGGCUUAGACGAAACAGAUGCUUAUUCCUUCGAUAUUCAUUACGUUGAUACUUAGAGUACCUCUCAAGCUAGGACCGAGUCCUACUUGCGACCGCCGUACGAAUUGUGUACGUUCAGCUUGCCCUUCACCACAAAGGUCACCGCUUGCCCACUCAUUGCGCAUUCUUGGACGGGAACCCUCCCCUUGUUGUUGACCUUUGCCAACGAUUAUGGGGCAUACGACUCCUCGUUUUCCUCUUUAGACGGGUUCCUCCCCGAGCGCAGACUAAUCGAUCAACCACUCCAUUAUCGAAUGGUUCCGCUACUAGUCAUCGACCAGGCUCUCCUACUAGUCGGUGUGACCCUGACUCUGUGCCGGGUCUGAGGAUGCCCUCCGUCGUCACCCCUUAAAAGGCGUUACCCGCUUUCGGACUGCCUCGUUACGGCGCACCUCCACCUUCCGGAUGCCCAGCAGUUGAAGAAAAGAGCCUCUUCUUUGUUACUGCCAUAGACUCCUUAUUCGUAGCCGAUUGAGACACGGUCGUCGGCGCCAUUCUGUCUCCUACGUUCGCAAUAGGCCUUACUAACCCGCAUUUCGCAGACAUCCACCGAAAAGUUCAGGCGGCAGUUUAGGGUCCCGAGUUGGGACCUGUCCGCCACCUUUGAUGGUUCGACCUCAUGCCAUCCCCGUCUCCCUUAAAAGCCACCUCGCCACUUUACGUAACUCUAGCCUUUCUUGUGGUUGCCGCUUUCGUGAGACGACCCGGCUGUGACUGUGACUCUCUGCUUUCGAUCCCCUCUUUUACCCUAAUCUCUGGGGUCAUCAGGAUCGGCAUUUGCUACCUAUGAUCCACGACACGCUGAGCUGGGCACGUCACGACAUCGAUUGCGUAAUUCAUAGGGCGGACCCCUCAUACAAGCGUUCUUACUUUGAGUUUCCUUAACUGCCCCCGGGCGUGUUCGCCACCACGUACCGACAGCAGUCGAGCACGGCAUUCCACAACCCAAUUCAGAGCGUUGCUCGCGUUGGGAGCACAAAUCAACGGUGAUACUCAAACCUUGGGACUUGUCUGGCGGCCACAAUUCGGCCUCCUUCCUCUCCUACUCCGGUUCAGUAGUACGGGGAAUACGGGACCCGCUGUGUGCACGAUGUUACCCGCCCUGUUUCCCAGCGCUAGAGCGUUCCCACUCGAUUGAGGUUUUUGGGCAGGAGUCAAGCCUAACGUCCGACGUUGAGCGGACGUACUUCGUCCUUAGCGAUCAUUAGCGGCCAGUCGGUAUGCCGCCACUUAGGCAAGGGCCCGGAACAUGUGUGGCGGGCAGUGUGAUAUCCUCGACCGGUACAAACUUCAGUAAUGGGAAUUGGCAUUCCUCCCCCUACGGAUUCCGAUCCGAACGCUGACCUCACUUCAGCAUUGUUCCAUCGGCAUGACCUUCCACGCCGACCUAGUGGAGGAAAAGUCCCUCUCGAUUACGAAUACGAAUAACCCAUAAAACCAAACUGUGAAGAAGUGCGGGUUUUUCUUCCGUCGAUGCAGACUCGAUUUGAACCUAUCCCUUCAGAAGAAAGCAAAUCCCACUUCAUUCUGGUUCGAGUACUCGAAUAAUAGGAUCCAGCAUUGUUUAAUCAACUAUCACUAUCCUAGGGAAAAAACCGCAGGGGUACAGGGGGGACACCACACCGCCGUACCCCUACAGUUUUCCUUUCCCUACCUCAAAAAGAGCGAAAACCGCAUCGUCCGGAGGGAAACCCUCCGGGCGCGCUGCCCGAUAAUCGAGUCACCAUCUCGCGCGGGGACUAUUAACGCAGCAACACGGACCCGACACUCCCGAGAGUCGGUGUACCUAUCAAGUUACACGAGUAGUCGCGGACUGGGCUUCUACACCUAGUAGGUUCCGUGUAAUCGUACCGCAUGAGGAGGACAAACUUAGCCUCAAACUUUGGUUUGUUUGAAGAGGAGUCCUCCUAUCUACCACGCUAAGUCCACUCUAGGGUACAUCUAGAUUGAAAGAUAAGUGAGCACCCUAGGCCCGCCAGGCCCCCCCCCGGUGGUGCCGAGGAGAGAAGAGCUCUUAGGUAUGUAGGGAAUAGUCACAUACCUCUCGAUAGAGAGCUCGUGUCCAACUCCAAGCAGGAGUUACCCUUUUACCUCGUGGAUUGUUGCGUAGAAGUGUCUGGUUCUUGAUGCUCUAGUGGGGAAAGUAAGACCCCACUGCCUCCCUAGUAUGGUAAGCUCGGAAAAAAAGUACGAAAAGGGCCGCCAGACCUCUUUCGUCGUUAGUUAUCCUGAAAGGAUUAGGAGGGAAGGAAAGUCCUUCUUGCACUUUAAGAAAAAGGAAUUUACCCUCGUCUCGUCCAAACUUUUUCCUAGAAUCUCACAGAUCCCAACCCGGUCCUCCCAGAGAAUUGCGGAAGGAAAAAGACGGGUAGCCUCAAUAAAGGGUUCCUGAACGGUACCAUUCUCCCUCCUCCCCCUUCUUCGUGUGAACUUCUCGCGUCAUGUUGCCCCUCAACAUACGACGCAAGCCCUUCCUACUUAGCGAGGGCUUUUCCUCAGAUAACUAAGAGAGGGUUAACCAACCUAGCAUCCCCGCUACUAAAUGAAGUGCCCGCUCCAGAGACCAAGUUCAGGUCCUACCGGGUCGACGCGGUCCCUUUUCUUAUCUUCUUCGUAGACUGAGAAAGUACGUAUGAGGUGAACCGAGCCCCCCCUAUAUCGAGUCAACCAUCUCGAGGCGAGAACGUUAACCCAGCAACGCUAAUGCCCAACCGACAGAUUAACAGGUCCGCCAUUACUAUCAUAGAACAUGGACUUGGCCACCGAGUGAAAAAGAUUCAUUACCCCUUCUCCUGACUUUGUACGGUGACUUUCUGAGAUGAUUCUGUUUUUCUACCCGAAAGUUUUUCCAUCUCCUCCAUCCUACCCGUCAACCAGUCUAGAUCAUACCUAGCAUGUACCUGCUAUCAACCUCAGCCGCCGAGAGGAUCCGAAGGGAGUAGACCCUAGGGACCCCUUCUCCUAGUUCAACCGGGAACGCUUAUUGAACUACGUGAUAGAGGGAAGUUGGGAAACUCGCUUUACA
This 3182-nucleotide ribosomal RNA is filed under the name Triticum aestivum (bread wheat). Its description in RNAcentral is "partial small subunit ribosomal RNA". The record is from RNAcentral. Lineage: Eukaryota; Viridiplantae; Streptophyta; Magnoliopsida; Poales; Poaceae.